CGGAGGGUGCGAGCGUUGUUCGGAAUCACUGGGCGUAAAGGGCGUGUAGGCGGUCCGCUAAGUCUGAUGUGAAAGCCCGGGGCUCACCCCCGGAAGGGCAUUGGAAACUGACGGACUCGAGUCCCGAAGAGGAGGGUGGAAUUCCUGGUGUAGCGGUGAAAUGCGUAGAUAUCAGGAGGAACACCGGUGGCGAAGGCGGCCCUCUGGACGGUGACUGACGCUGAGACGCGAAAGCGUGGGGAGCAAACAGGAUUAGAUACCCUGGUAGUCCACGCUGUAAACGAUGAGCACUAGGUGUCGUGGGUAUUGACCCCCGCGGUGCCGUAGCUAACGCAUUAAGUGCUCCGCCUGGGGACUACGGCCGCAAGGUUA
RNAcentral lists this ribosomal RNA (372 nucleotides) under uncultured organism. RNAcentral describes it as "bacterial SSU rRNA". It matches the Rfam family "Bacterial small subunit ribosomal RNA", at positions 526 to 896 of the family's 1533-position model. The record is from RNAcentral.